This 526-nucleotide ribosomal RNA is filed under the name uncultured bacterium. Its description in RNAcentral is "bacterial SSU rRNA". It matches the Rfam family "Bacterial small subunit ribosomal RNA", at positions 983 to 1509 of the family's 1533-position model. The record is from RNAcentral.
GACAUCCAGCGAACUUGGCAGAGAUGCCUUGGUGCCUUCGGGAACGCUGAGACAGGUGCUGCAUGGCUGUCGUCAGCUCGUGUUGUGAAAUGUUGGGUUAAGUCCCGNAACGAGCGCAACCCUUAUCCUUUGUUGCCAGCGAUUCGGUCGGGAACUCAAAGGAGACUGCCGGUGAUAAACCGGAGGAAGGUGGGGAUGACGUCAAGUCAUCAUGGCCCUUACGAGUAGGGCUACACACGUGCUACAAUGGCGCAUACAAAGAGAAGCGACCUCGCGAGAGCAAGCGGACCUCAUAAAGUGCGUCGUAGUCCGGAUCGGAGUCUGCAACUCGACUCCGUGAAGUCGGAAUCGCUAGUAAUCGUGGAUCAGAAUGCCACGGUGAAUACGUUCCCGGGCCUUGUACACACCGCCCGUCACACCAUGGGAGUGGGUUGCAAAAGAAGUAGGUAGCUUAACCUUCGGGAGGGCGCUUACCACUUUGUGAUUCAUGACUGGGGUGAAGUCGUAACAAGGUAGGCGUAGCGAG